RNAcentral lists this long non-coding RNA (306 nucleotides) under Elaeis guineensis (African oil palm). RNAcentral describes it as "long non-coding RNA (EGUI_LNC079611)". The record is from RNAcentral. Lineage: Eukaryota; Viridiplantae; Streptophyta; Magnoliopsida; Arecales; Arecaceae.
CCACCUUAAUCAGACCAUGAAUCUUUAGAUUUGAUUAUCCAUGAUUUCGAUCUAGCCAUGACUUGAUUUGAUCAUGUUGAUUUCACCAAUCGAGAUAUUGGACCAAUCAUAAUGUUGAAUUGUGUCAUCUGAUCAAUUCGAAUUAUACCUCAUUGAUUUCUCUCUCCUCUAAUUGUCUCUCUCUACUUGAUUUUAUGAAAUCGAUGAAAAAAUCUCGGUCCUAUCACUUUGAAUCCGAUUUGAUCUGAUAGUCAAACUUUGGAUCGUUUAGGUCCUAAUUAGAUUUUGAUUAGAUGAAAUUAGAUG